RNAcentral lists this ribosomal RNA (609 nucleotides) under uncultured bacterium. RNAcentral describes it as "bacterial SSU rRNA". It matches the Rfam family "Bacterial small subunit ribosomal RNA", at positions 338 to 945 of the family's 1533-position model. The record is from RNAcentral.
CCUACGGGAGGCAGCAGUAAGGAAUAUUGGUCAAUGGACGAAAGUCUGAACCAGCCAUGCCGCGUGAAGGAUGAAGGCCCUCUGGGUUGUAAACUUCUUUUAUAGGGGACGAAAAAAGGGAAUUCUUUCCCACUUGACGGUACCCUAGGAAUAAGCACCGGCUAACUCCGUGCCAGCAGCCGCGGUAAUACGGAGGGUGCAAGCGUUAUCCGGAUUUACUGGGUUUAAAGGGUGCGUAGGUGGGCAGUUAAGUCAGUGGUGAAAUCUCCGAGCUUAACUCGGAAACUGCCAUUGAUACUAUCUGUCUUGAAUAUCCUGGAGGUGAGCGGAAUAUGUCAUGUAGCGGUGAAAUGCUUAGAUAUGACAUAGAACACCAAUUGCGAAGGCAGCUCACUACGGGAUUAUUGACACUGAGGCACGAAAGCGUGGGGAUCAAACAGGAUUAGAUACCCUGGUAGUCCACGCCCUAAACUAUGGAUACUCGACAUCAGCGAUACACUGUUGGUGUCUGAGCGAAAGCAUUAAGUAUCCACCUGGGAAGUACGAUCGCAAGAUUGAAACUUCAAAUGAAUUGACGGCUUGAGACGNGCGAGCGACGACGAGGAGAGG